CAGCUGCUCAGUACGGAGUUCAACGCCACGCACGUCGGCGCGGAUGUCCUGGCGUUCGAAGACGCGGUGGUGCGAAUCUACAAGUAGGUGGCCA
RNAcentral lists this transfer RNA (94 nucleotides) under Variovorax boronicumulans. RNAcentral describes it as "tRNA-Val". RNAcentral also lists the same sequence under 1 other name. The record is from RNAcentral. Lineage: Bacteria; Pseudomonadati; Pseudomonadota; Betaproteobacteria; Burkholderiales; Comamonadaceae.